Molecule: ribosomal RNA, 875 nt
Filed under: Paraspidodera uncinata
Lineage: Eukaryota; Metazoa; Nematoda; Chromadorea; Rhabditida; Aspidoderidae
Description: partial 16S ribosomal RNA
Source: RNAcentral
AUAUGAUGUGUUGGUAUGUUAGACUAAGCUUUGUAGUUUAUUUUUAAAAUUUUUGUAUGUGGGACAAAGGAAAGGGGGGGCUUUAGAUUAUUUUUUUUUGUUUUUUGGUAUUGCAUAUCGUUGAAGGACUAUUUUAUUGUUUAUAAUUAAUAGAAAUAGAAGGUGGAGAAAUUUAUGAUUUUAUUGUUGCAUGAUAGGAGUUAUUGUUUUUUGUUUUGAUAUAACGUCUUUUAUGAUAUUUGUUAUUUUUGUUUUUUUUAGAAAAUUGUAAGUUUUGUUUUAUGUUUAGGAUUUAUAUGAUUUGAAGUUUUUUUAGUUUUAGUGUUAUGACUUUUUCUUUAUUGUUGUUGUUUUUUGUUUAUAUUUUUAUUAAUAUUUUGAUAAUUGUAUAAUUUUUAAUUUAGUAUAUUUUUAAAUGGGAUUAAUUUUUGUAAAUUUGGAUUUGAGAACUGGGUCUAUAAUCAAAUGUUUAUUAAAGACUGAGAUGUUAAUUUAAUAUUGUCCUCUGCUCUAUGAUGUUUAAAUGGCCGCCUUAGCGUGAGGGCAUGAAAGUAGCAAAAUAAUUUGUGCUUUUAAUGGGUUCGAGUAUGAAAGGGGGCUUGGUUAUUUUUGUUUUAUUUUUAUUUAGAAUUACAAGGAUGUUUAAUAAUUAAUAUUUGUAUUUUAACAAAGAUAAGUCUUCGGAAAUUCUUUUAGUUGCUGUUUUUUUUAUAUAGUAGCUAUGUUGCUUAGGGCAAGUUUUUUUAUAAGGUGGUUUACUAGGUUUAUAGUAGUGAGUUACUCCGGAGUUAACAGAAAAUCACAUUUUUUCUAGAUGUUAUAGAUGAGAGGGUUUUACCUCGAUGUUGUAUUCUGGCUGGCUAAAGGAGUAGUAA